RNAcentral lists this ribosomal RNA (395 nucleotides) under Helicobacter pylori. RNAcentral describes it as "bacterial SSU rRNA". It matches the Rfam family "Bacterial small subunit ribosomal RNA", at positions 270 to 667 of the family's 1533-position model. The record is from RNAcentral. Lineage: Bacteria; Pseudomonadati; Campylobacterota; Epsilonproteobacteria; Campylobacterales; Helicobacteraceae.
UUGCUUAUGAUCGGGUAUCCGACUCCUGAGAGGUGUGAGGAGCGGUCACCCCUGGAACUGAGAACUACAAGGUACCAGACUCCUACGGGAGGCAGUCAGUAGGGAAUUAUUAAGAUCAAUGGGGGAAACCCUGAAGCAGCAACGCCCCGUGGAGGAUGAAGGUUUUAGGAUUGUAAACUCCUUUUGUUAGAGAAGAUAAUGACGGUAUCUAACGAAUAAGCACCGGCUAACUCCGUGCCAGCAGCCGCGGUAAUACGGAGGGUGCAAGCGUUACUCGUGCAUAUCACUGGGGGNAAANAGCGCGUAGGCGGGAUAGUCAGUCAGGUGUGAAUAUCCUAUGGCUGAACAUAGAACUUCNUUGAAACUGAGAUCUAGAGUGUGGAGAGGUAGGGAUU